Microcebus murinus (gray mouse lemur) is the source of this 413-nucleotide non-coding RNA. The record is from RefSeq and is a predicted model, not a curated record. Lineage: Eukaryota; Metazoa; Chordata; Mammalia; Primates; Cheirogaleidae.
GAAACUUAUUCUUGAGGGCUAUUUUAAGCUUGAGGAACCAGGCUAGGGUGAAAUUGAGUCCAUCAAGACCAUUGUGUGAGAGAGUCUUGAGAAGGAAGAACAUUCUAUGCUGAAGGACUAUAACCUACAAAGACAGAGAAGUUGGAAAUCUCAGGUGUGUUCCCGGCUUCUGAGCAGGGGAUGCUGUUACCUAAGGAGGCAUCAGUAAUCUUUGCAUCAGUGAAACAACUAGAGUUGUAACUUAACAAGCAUUUUUGGACAUGGGAUCAAAUUAAACAGCAUCCGUCUCUCAAGUACAAUUUGUUUGUUCUGAAUUCACGAAACUUCAGCCCUUGAGAUGUGCUACAACUUGGCAAGAAGAGAAAUGGUAUAUCAGGUUUGGCAAGCCUGACCUGGGGAACACAGAUAGGUGA